This 85-nucleotide transfer RNA is filed under the name Legionellales bacterium. Its description in RNAcentral is "tRNA-Leu". It matches the Rfam family "tRNA". Rfam says of the family: Transfer RNA (tRNA) molecules are approximately 80 nucleotides in length. Their secondary structure includes four short double-helical elements and three loops (D, anti-codon, and T loops). Lineage: Bacteria; Pseudomonadati; Pseudomonadota; Gammaproteobacteria; Legionellales. The record is from RNAcentral.
GCCGAAGUGGUGGAAUUGGUAGACACGCUACCUUGAGGGGGUAGUGGUCUUUAUGAUCGUGUCGGUUCGAGUCCGACCUUCGGCA